RNAcentral lists this small RNA (508 nucleotides) under Arabidopsis thaliana (thale cress). RNAcentral's name for it is "ATSL150680". The record is from RNAcentral. Lineage: Eukaryota; Viridiplantae; Streptophyta; Magnoliopsida; Brassicales; Brassicaceae.
UACUUUCAUAAUUGUACUAUGUUUAAAUUUAUACCUAAAUUAUAUCGUUGUUUAGAAUAUAUCUCAGAAGAUAAUGUGUAUGCAGGAUUUCGUAUACAGAUCCUCGAAAGAGAGUGAUAAGUUUUCAGGAUUAUGAUGGUUUUAUACAUCAUCAAAUGACGAAACAUCAAGUAUGGGCGCUGUUAAUCUCCGUAGAAGUCUCUCCUACUCCAUCAAAAGUCGAAGCUCUUCUUUGGGCGAUGAAGUGUAUGAUCGGUGCAGAUAAUCAAGAUGUAGCGUUCUUUACAGACUGUUCAAACCUGGUGAAGAUGGUGUCUUCCCCAACUGAAUAGCCAGCAUUUUCAAAAUAAAAGGAAUUUCUGAGCGACAAGGAUGAGUUUUCAUACUUCUCUUUAUCUUUAUUCUCUUGAAAGAGAAUCGCAAAUGUAAAAAUAAAUAAUUUGGCACGGAAAAUCCGUUCUGAGCCGCAUCAAAUUAUCUAUGUAAACAAUAUUUCACAUAAAUAACU